RNAcentral lists this long non-coding RNA (324 nucleotides) under Mustela putorius furo (domestic ferret). RNAcentral describes it as "lncRNA (ENSMPUG00000026533.1)". Lineage: Eukaryota; Metazoa; Chordata; Mammalia; Carnivora; Mustelidae. The record is from RNAcentral.
AAGCAGGGGUAUGCCAGAGGCCAGCAGGCCUACUGGGGGCUGAGCUGGUGCCCAGGACUUGUCCCUGGGGCUGUGGUCACCAGGAGCCCUGGAGAGUGUCCAACGGGGGAAUAACAAAGCUAGCAGGAGGUCACUCUUCACACCUGGCAUGCACCACAUGCCCAGCUCACAGCAAGUCAGGCCUUCUCCAAGGCUCACCAGUUUGCCGCAGAAACCCGGACCCCAAUCCUGUCCCUGCAGCCUGUGGUCCGAACCACACUCGCCUCCUCUGAGGAUGUCACUACUCACGGGAAGCCGGACAUGUCGGAAACAGGCAGGAAGAAC